CCAAUAGCGUAUAUUAAAGUUGUUGCAGUUAAAAAGCUCGUAGUUGAAUUUCGGGAUUAGUACGUCGGUCGUGCCUUCGGUAUGUACUGGUGUUACUGGUUCCUACCUUCUGACGAACCGUCAUGUCAUUAAUUUGGUGUGGCGGGGAAUCAGGACUGUUACUUUGAAAAAAUUAGAGUGUUUAAAGCAGGCUCGCGCUUGAAUACAUUAGCAUGGAAUAAUGAAAUAGGACGUUCGAUCCUAUUUUGUUGGUUUCUAGGAUUGACGUAAUGAUUAAUAGGGAUAGUUGGGGGCAUUAGUAUUCAAUUGUCAGAGGUGAAAUUCUUGGAUUUAUUGAAGACUAACUACUGCGAAAGCAUUUGCCAAGGAUGUUUUCAUUAAUCAAGAACGAAAGUUAGGGGAUCGAAGACGAUCAGAUACCGUCGUAGUCUUAACCAUAAACUAUGCCGACUAGGGAUCGGAUGAUGUUAUUUUUAAUGACUCACUCGGCGCCUUACG
RNAcentral lists this ribosomal RNA (498 nucleotides) under uncultured Glomeromycotina. Its description in RNAcentral is "partial small subunit ribosomal RNA". It matches the Rfam family "Eukaryotic small subunit ribosomal RNA", at positions 591 to 1092 of the family's 1831-position model. Lineage: Eukaryota; Fungi; Glomeromycota. The record is from RNAcentral.